GAUGAACGCUGGCGGCGUGCCUAAUACAUGCAAGUCGAGCGAACAGACGAGGAGCUUGCUCCUCUGACGUUAGCGGCGGACGGGUGAGUAACACGUGGAUAACCUACCUAUAAGACUGGGAUAACUUCGGGAAACCAGAGCUAAUACCGGAUAACAUGUUGAACCGCAUGGUUCAACAGUGAAAGACGGUCUUGCUGUCACUUAUAGAUGGAUCCGCGCCGCAUUAGCUAGUUGGUAAGGUAACGGCUUACCAAGGCAACGAUGCGUAGCCGACCUGAGAGGGUGAUCGGCCACACUGGAACUGAGACACGGUCCAGACUCCUACGGGAGGCAGCAGUAGGGAAUCUUCCGCAAUGGGCGAAAGCCUGACGGAGCAACGCCGCGUGAGUGAAGAAGGUCUUCGGAUCGUAAAACUCUGUUAUUAGGGAAGAACAAAUGUGUAAGUAACUAUGCACGUCUUGACGGUACCUAAUCAGAAAGCCACGGCUAACUACGUG
RNAcentral lists this ribosomal RNA (497 nucleotides) under uncultured bacterium. RNAcentral's name for it is "partial 16S ribosomal RNA". It matches the Rfam family "Bacterial small subunit ribosomal RNA", at positions 28 to 507 of the family's 1533-position model. The record is from RNAcentral.